GUGCCAGCAGCAGCAAAGGAGAAACUAAAGCUCGGCCUAAAAGGCAAAAAGCUGGAAAAGCCAAGUAUUCAUUCAACGACUCUGAAGAGGAGGAUGAAUGGAUCCCACGAAAAAUAAAAGAAGCUCCUCCGACAUGCAAUGUUGUGGAUGAUGAUCAGUUUGCCAUGGCUCUCUUUGGCACUGCCCCAGCUGUGAAGGAAAAAACAAAGA
This is a long non-coding RNA of Nanorana parkeri, 210 nucleotides long. RefSeq lists it as uncharacterized. The transcript has 4 exons. NCBI's taxonomy places the organism in Eukaryota, Metazoa, Chordata, Amphibia, Anura, Dicroglossidae. The record is from RefSeq and is a predicted model, not a curated record.